Molecule: long non-coding RNA, 1036 nt
Filed under: Chrysolophus pictus (golden pheasant)
Lineage: Eukaryota; Metazoa; Chordata; Aves; Galliformes; Phasianidae
Description: lncRNA (ENSCPIG00010001058.1)
Source: RNAcentral
AGAAACAAUGCAAAGAAGAGCAGUGACCUGCAAUCAUACACCCAGAACAAAUCCUCUGCUGCUGAACUCAUGCUGUCUGCGAGGUCUCUGCAGGUGCACUGCGCUGUUGCUGCCACAGUGUACCAUCAUUUCCUGUGUGACAGUCUUUAAGACCACCACAAGGGUAAAUACGCCGUUCCUCAUGACGCCGGACAAGUUAAUGACACAGCUGUUUGCAGAAAGGAGGUUGUAACAUUGAGCCCAGCAGAAGAAAUACUGCCUGUUAUGUGUAGGUAUAAUCAUUUUAGAAGACAUGCUGACACAGAACCUCGUGGAUUUGGCAUCAGUGAUGCCAAGACUCUGUAUUUACUACCAUAGGGAAUACCAGGCUUUGCAAAAAUCUAUUACCAGGCGUAGUACUCAGUGCCAAUGGAUUCCUGCAGCAGGUUGUUUCUCAGUGAGUUUUUAAAAGCUGAUCCUUAAUGCCUGAUAUUAGGCAGCUUCAAAUCAAAAACAAAAUUGCUUUGAAAAAGAUUUACAAAAGUUCACAUUGGUAGAGAUAUUGCUUGACGUUUAAAAGGAAAAAUAAUAACGCCAAGAUUGCGAUUGCAUUUGUUGACGUUUGGAACAUCUUCCUGUGGAGCUUGUAACCAUAACACGGCUGCAUUGUACUCGUGUUUCAGAAACAGAAAGUGGAACUAAAUGCAAUUUAUUAAAAUAGUGUGGCUGAUUAUAAACUCUAAAGGGAAAUCAAGUAACCUCAUUUCUUUAUCUCAUCUGAGCAAAAGGCUAAAACGUGGGGGUGGGGAGAGGCACUUGUUCAGUUUUAGUCCUCUCAAGUGUUACUAAUCACGGAAGUACAAAAUACUUGAAAAUGCCUUUUUAAAAAUCUUCAGAGCCCUACAGAGUGGGCUUCAAUCCGAAGCUGAGGUGGUGUUUCUGGGUGACUGAGGGCUGAAAGGUAAGGGCUAGGCAGCUCCUUCCAGCACAGGCAGGGCACUGGGCUAACUGGCUAACACUGAAAAUAAAAGAGUAUUUUCUUCUUCCUUCCCCCCCA